UUUAUUUUAUAAAUAAUUAAAAAUAAAAUUAUUUUAAUAAUUUAUUUAUUAUUAGUAUUACUAGGAAUUAUUUUUUUAUAAGAGGGCUGUGAAGGUUUUAUUUUAAUCAUUAGGAAUUAUUUACUAGUACCUUUUGUAUCAGGGUAAAUUAAUUAAUUUAAUUAUUUUAUUUUCCCGAAUUUAAAAGGUCAAGUUUUAUAAUUAUAUAUUUGUGUCAAAAAAUUUUGUAAUAUAUUACUAGUAAUUAUAUGUUAUUCGUUUUUUGUUUAUCUGGUUAUUGAGGAUUAAAAUUUAAUUUUUCACUUUAAUAAUAUUUUAUAUUGUAUAUUAAUGUAUAUACUAUAGGUGUUAACUUAUUGGGGAUAAUCUCAUUGAGUAAAAAUUAUUACAUAUUUAUAAUUUUUGUUUUUUUACUUUUAAAUUUUGUAUUAAGUUUGUAUUAAAUUGGCUAUAAUUUUAUAUUAUUUUUUUGUGUAUAUUUUUAUACUUGAUUUUAUGGUUUAAUUUUUAAUUUAUUUUAAUAAUGAUUUAAUUAGUAUAAUAAAUUUUUUAGGGGUAAUGAAUUCGACAAAUAUUAUUUCCAACUGUUUAUCAAAAACAUUUCUUUUUGGUUAUAUAAAAAGUACCUUCUGCCCUAUGGUUUAAUUUUCUAAAUGGCUGCAGUAAUUUGACUGUGCAAAGGUAGCAUAGUAAUUAGUUUUUUAAUUGGAAGCUUGAAUGAAUGGAUGUAUGAGAAUUAUAUUUUAUUUCUUUAAAUGUUAAAAUUUAAAUUUAAAGUUAAAAUGCUUUAUUUAUUUAUUGGGACGAUAAGACCCUGUAGAACUUUAUAUGAAUUCCUAUUAUUAAUUUUUAUUAAUUAAAUUUUUUAAUUGGUUUAUUAAUAUUUUGCUGGGGAGGCAAUUAAAUUUAAACUUUAAUUUUUGAUUUCAUUUAUUUAUGUAAAUUUAGAUCCUUUUCUAAGGGUUACAAGAUUAAGUUACCUUAGGGAUAACAGCGUAAUUUUAAUGGGGAGUUCAUAUCUAUAUUAUAUUUUGCGACCUCGAUGUUGAAUUAAGAAAAUUUUGAGAAGUAGUAUUCUUUAAUAAUAAGUCUGUUCGACUUUUAAAUUCUUACAUGAUUUGAGUUCAAACCGGCGUGAGCCAGGUUGGUUUCUAUCUGAUAAUAUUUAUUUUGUUCUUAGUACGAAAGGACCAGUAUAAAUCACUAGGGUGAAUAGCUUUUAAU
RNAcentral lists this ribosomal RNA (1224 nucleotides) under Nesophrosyne sp. 21 GMB-2012. Its description in RNAcentral is "16S ribosomal RNA". The stretch from base 987 to 1146 matches the Rfam family "Eukaryotic large subunit ribosomal RNA", at positions 2825 to 2984 of the family's 3401-position model. The record is from RNAcentral. Lineage: Eukaryota; Metazoa; Arthropoda; Insecta; Hemiptera; Cicadellidae.